GUCCCCGUCCGUGCUCCUGUCCAGCCCCUGCCCCUGUCCUGUCCCGCGGGAUGUGCCCAGGCGCGGGCACGGCUCUUGCAGAGCCCCGGGCUGUUUGUGCCUGCCAGGUGAGCUGGGCCGAUCCUGCUGCUCGGGAUGGCCUCUCCCGGCAGGCUGGCAUCCCAGGCGGCUGGCUGCCUCGGGUUGGAGGCUACAGCGUGGUUUUGGUCAGACGAGGCACAGACAAGACUGUCAAACCCUGCCUGGGAAUCCUGCGCCCUUCCUCCUUUCCACAUGCCCUUUUUAAACUCGGUGCUGCCAGAUUCCCCUGGACACCAGGUGCUGGAACAAAACACGUUGGCUCUGCAGCCUUUCUGGCAAAAAAUGGAACAAUCUAUUUCUUUGCCAGCUGACAAGCCUGGGAAGCCAAGAAACCAACUGAGCAGUUGGCCUGAUGCCAAGGGAGCUAGAUAGCCAGUCAGCUGAGCUAUAGUGAGAAACCAGCUUGGCCAGCAAUCACAGCCAGAUCACAGCUAAAACUUCUGUAGAAAGUUUUGAUGGAACCAGGACAAUUCAGAAUGUUCAGUGCCAGUCUGCUCAAUUAGAAGAUGGUUAAACAAACCCUCUUAGUAACUGACUACUGUUGGGAAAGGAUGUAACUGUACUGCACUUUGUGUUCUUUAUGGAUUUCUUCAGCUUUUGCCUUAUGAGUUAUGCACACAUUUAUUGCUACUAUGAGCUGAUUAAAUUAAUGAAUUUUCCUUAAGGAUUAAUGAUGACACCCAAGCCUAUGAGGGAGUUUUCAGAGUGUCUUUCAUUGCUAGUUUUGUAAUGAUCAUUCAAAUAACAUUGCGUGCCAGCAGUACCUCAUAGUAUCUGCUCGUGUAUGUCUGCCUACUAACCAGAAGGUACAGUUACUGCAGGCUACACUGAGAGACUGAAAUAAACACUUCUGUCUGCUAUCAGAUAACACACUAUCUCAUUGUCUUCAGCCCAUAUUUGUGAAUGAAUUUAGGUUAAGAUGAACUUGCCAAAAAUGCAAUAAUGAGGGAAAUACCUCUUCUGAACUAGGGAAAAAGUACUGAUCUUUCCUGGGUAGUUGGUAAUGUUAAGGUCAACACCGAUAUGGAGAGCUCCCUUUUUUGUCGGAACUGACUAUGCUCAAGUGCUGUUUGCUGAAUGUAACCUUAAACAUUAUUGCAGAAUUCUUGCAAUGCUCCAGUUACUUUUCCCUUUUGGUGUAUUUUUGGAAAGAUAUCAGACAAGUUUGUAACAAAAAUUACAUUUUUGUCUUCCCACAGCUUACAGUUAUGCUAUCAUCAUAAAAGGUAUCAGCUGCUUUUUUCAAAUGUUUAGAUAAUUUCUAUUGUAGGAUAAAUCUUAUAAUUUCUUAAAUCUGCAGAUGCUGUACACCCUAUACACUUCUCUUGUUUGUUUCCGACUAGUUGCUGCAUGUGAUUCCUUCUUAAAGCCCAGAUCUGUCAUACACCAUCAUCACUACAACUGUGAUAACUCCAGGGAACAAUGAAUUUCCUUGUAAAUGUUUAAUGGUAAUUAAAUUUUCUACAACUGCAUUUAUUUAAGUAGUCUCUAGUAUUCCUGCUGUGAAAUCAGAGGAAAAACAGAUGCUUUACUGAGAUGCAUUUCAGAUCUUGUUCCUUCCACAUAUAAAUAAAUCUGACUUAUUUUCUCUCUCAAAUUCAACUACUGCGGAGAUGCUACAGCAUCUGGAUUCCAAGUGGAUUUAUGUCAGUUGUUUGCUUUUCAUUGACCUUUAUAUUCUCUAAGCAUGGCACAGUUUAUUGCUGUUUUUACAGAGUUUAUUCUUGAAUGGAAAUCGUUUGCACAGCAAGUAUUUUCCCACAAUGACAAUAGUUUAUUGUAAUGUUUAUGGUGUAUUUUCUUCUUCAUUUCUGCUGGACUUGCUACACAGUUUUCUGUGCACUGCUGCAACAUAUCUUGAAAUGUGCUCUUCAUCCCAAAUGAAGUAACUUGAGCAUAUGUUUAAGGUUUAAGUCAGUCUCAAUAUGAUCAUUUGGCUUGCCUGGUUUUAUAUUCCACACACAGAUAACUGCUGCCGUGUGUCAUUUAAGUCUUUCUGAUUCUUGAUUUCCUCAGUAUUGCCACAUACUCAGAGAUUAUUUCAGUUCCCCUCUGAUUCCGUCUAUAACAUAAAUGCUCUUUAAACAUGAGAACACUUUAAUUAGUGUUAUUUUCUUUUUCCAUCAAAAUAUUGACUGGAAACUACCAAAUCCUUAUAUGUCUUGGUGAUAACUUUUCAACAAAAUUUGAGUAUUAAUAGCUUCUCCCAAACUUCCUUUUUAGUUUUCUCUCAAAAAAAAAGAAAAAACAAAAAACUAUGAGUGACAAGGAAACAAUCAUCUGUACACUCCUUCCCAAGGACUUCUUUUCAACUCACUGUUCAAAGACAGAAAAUCUUGGCCAAAAUGAAAUAAAAAAGAGAAAUACCAAAAAGAAAUCCUGUGAGUUCUUCCCUACCAUCAUAAGAUUUCUGAGUAGCUACCUUCAUGAAAGGCUAUUUCAUUUUCCCAGUGAAAUUUUUCUGGGAAAAUUUCUCAGCUCAGAAAUGUUAGAGGGCCUAUGUUACAGGCCCAACUGAGAACCAGAUAAAUUUAAUUUUAAACUAAAAGUUAAACCACAUAAGCCAAUCAGAGCAAAAAUGUGGAAUGUGAACAAUAUCUGAAAUGCAUUUCCAGAACACAUCCAGUUUAGCUGAAGUGUUGUGAGUGAUGAUUAGGUCAUGAACUCCUGAUGUAUGGAGUCUGUUGGGUCAGGGUGGUGGAAUGGGAUGGGAUGGGUAGAGUAGUGAUAAACUAUGCCUGAGUCUAAAUAGGAAUGAUUUUUUUUAGAAGUUGGCAUCUAGAGAUAUGUGGAUAAUGAUCACAAUAAUGUCUAUAAUGUUCUAUUAUUAAGUCAAGGGGCAGCUUGAAAAAAACCCAACAAAACAGCCUGGCACCAGAAGCAACUCCAUGACUUUGUUUUGACCAGUAAGACAACAGAUCUAAACUUCUAAAAACAAGCCUUCAUCUUUCUUUGUUGCAAAAAUGUGACAUGGUGUUAUCAUUAGUUACAGCUCACUUGAUUGUGAGAGUAAAUUGAGUUUUUCAAGACUUGAAAUGUAGCUUAAAAUUAUGCAUCUUGGUAACAUCAUGUUUUACUGGAUACUUUAGGCCACAUACCAUAGAGGUAUUAGUUAUUCAUGUAAUUAAUUAAUGAAGAAAAAUUAAUUUUUAACUUUGUUGAAAGGUGGCCACUUAUGCUUUAAAGCUGUGGAAAUAUAUAUAUUUGUAUAUUUAUAAAUAUAUAAAAUCAAAACAUAUUUUAUUAGUCAAAAAGGAAAUAAUCCAUUGUCUGCUUGCUUAGUUGCAAGAAACUGCAUUAGGAAUAUUUGAAAAAGUAAUAAAAGUGUUUUAAAACCAAGUUA
Chiroxiphia lanceolata (lance-tailed manakin) is the source of this 3424-nucleotide long non-coding RNA. RefSeq lists it as uncharacterized. The record is from RefSeq and is a predicted model, not a curated record. The transcript has 2 exons. Lineage: Eukaryota; Metazoa; Chordata; Aves; Passeriformes; Pipridae.